This 65-nucleotide transfer RNA is filed under the name Barbatia decussata. RNAcentral's name for it is "tRNA-Cys". Lineage: Eukaryota; Metazoa; Mollusca; Bivalvia; Arcoida; Arcidae. The record is from RNAcentral.
GAUCCGGCGGUCGAAGGAAGACGUUAAAUUGCAGGUUUAGAGAGGUAAGGGGUUUACACGGAUUU